CCUAUCCAUGAACCUUCAGGUGUCCAUCGGACUUGAUAGGGAAUCCCGUGCAAAUCGGGAGCGGACCCGCCGCCGUAAGCCCGCGAGAACGCCUGCUCCCCAGCGCGCCACUGGAUCAUGAUCCGGGAAGGCCGGAGCAGGUCGGGCAAGCCGGAAGACCUGCCUGACGCGUCAUCGGCCA
RNAcentral lists this non-coding RNA (181 nucleotides) under Nitratidesulfovibrio vulgaris. The record is from RNAcentral. Lineage: Bacteria; Pseudomonadati; Thermodesulfobacteriota; Desulfovibrionia; Desulfovibrionales; Desulfovibrionaceae.